This 416-nucleotide RNase P RNA is filed under the name Actinomycetota bacterium. Its description in RNAcentral is "RNase P RNA component class A". It matches the Rfam family "Bacterial RNase P class A". Rfam says of the family: Ribonuclease P (RNase P) is a ubiquitous endoribonuclease, found in archaea, bacteria and eukarya as well as chloroplasts and mitochondria. The record is from RNAcentral. Lineage: Bacteria; Bacillati; Actinomycetota.
CGGGCCGUCCGACCCGUCGCUGCGCUCGGUCUAUACGGGCGUAGAGAAAAGUCCGGACUCGCGAGGGCUGGGGCCUGAAAGCUCCGGCCCGGAACGGCCGCUCGGGUUAAUAACCCGAGGGGCGGGGCGGCGCAAGCCCCCCGUCACGUCAAGUGCAGCAGAGAGCAGACCAGCCGAUGGCUCGGAGGCCUGGCCUUCGAGCACAGGUGAUGGGUGAAAGGGUGGGGUAAGAGCCCACCGGCGGUAUCCCGUGAGGGACCGGCCAGGCAAACCACCGGUGCGAGCAAGCCAAAUUGUACCGGCGCCGCGAGGCGCCCGGGCUGGUAGGCGCAGCUCCUCCAAGAGGAGCCCGGGAGAUAUUCCCGGAGAUGGAUGGCGGGAUAGAGCAGAAUCCGGCUUACGGGACGGCCUGAACC